GACGAACGCUGGCGGCGUGCUUAACACAUGCAAGUCGAGCGGUAAGGCCCUUUCGGGGGUACACGAGCGGCGAACGGGUGAGUAACACGUGGGUGACCUGCCCUCAGCUCUGGGAUAAGCCUGGGAAACUGGGUCUAAUACUGGAUAUGACUCCACGGUGCAUGUCGUGGGGUGGAAAGCCUUGUGCGGCUGAGGAUGGGCCCGCGGCCUAUCAGCUUGUUGGGGGGUGAUGGCCUACCAAGGCGACGACGGGUAGCCGGCCUGAGAGGGCGACCGGCCACACUGGGACUGAGACACGGCCCAGACUCCUACGGGAGGCAGCAGGUGGGGAAUCUUGCGCAAUGGGCGAAAGCCUGACGCAGCGACGCCGCGUGAGGGAUGACGG
This 385-nucleotide ribosomal RNA is filed under the name uncultured bacterium. Its description in RNAcentral is "bacterial SSU rRNA". It matches the Rfam family "Bacterial small subunit ribosomal RNA", at positions 28 to 414 of the family's 1533-position model. The record is from RNAcentral.